AAACAUAAGCAACAGAGUUGCCAUCCAACCAGCAUCGAACAAUCCAAAAAACUUGCAAAUCCAGUGGUAACCCAACCUGCAAAAGUCAAAGAAGCAGGUUAAUACUAUAUUUACCUCCUACUAUUUUUAUUCUUACCAACACAUGAAUCUCCACGAAGAAAUGAAACAUUUGUGACUGGCUAUACAAUGCUAUGUGUAACAUAUAUGUUGACAAAUAUAACAUUCAGUGACAAUGAGCAACUAAAUAAAACCCGCCCGACACCACAAUGGGACACACGACACAGCUUACCAGUUAUUUAAAACAUAAAUGCAUCAAGAAGAACACAUACCGACGACCAUGGACGUCAGGCAUCGAGAUUGUACCCACCCCCAGCUGAACAUAUAAUUAGGAUACUUAAGAAACAGACAAAUAAACAAACACACUAAAAAUCUGACCUUAAACACAUGGAUGAUAGCUCACCUCAAAAUUUAGAUAUAUGUCUUCCAUGACUACCCACACUCUUCGUCGAGCCCCUCAGCACUUACUCCACAACUGCGGUAACAUCGACAAAUUCCAGGGAAUUUCCACAAACAUGUAGAAAAUAUUUCGACAAAGAACACUCCCCACCAAAAAACUACAAAGCUGCUUUAACAACCAAAUGAAAAAAAAAGGAAAAAAAAUUCAAUCAACUUUAGCUUGACAAAAACAUCAAUAAAAACACACACAAAAAGAAUCUUCACAAAUAGUAUCAACGGUCUCAAGAUCGACUCAAAUCCGACUAUGAUAUAAUUUUUUUUAAAAAGACGACUAUGAUAAUUUAUCAUGUUUAACUUCAAACAAUAUUAACAAGCGCUGCCAACAAUGCUAUCUCUAUAAACAAAGGAAUAAAAUUUAUUUAAUAUGUGGUCAAUUGUCUUUUAUCUUAAGCUAAUACUUUAAAAUCCAACAACUUUUAUGUACUACAACGAUAACAAUUAUUUCUAAAAUUAUGUUGGUCACAAAUAAAAAAAUAUAUCUCCUUCACAAAAUUUAUUUGCAAAUCUCCUCAGAAUCAAACAUAUAUAUUCCAUUAACAUCGUAUUUAUACAAUACUUUAAUAAAUAUAAUAGUUCAACUAUGAAACAAACACAUAUCCACCAGAAUAGUUAUUAUUCCUUACAUGUAGAAUCGGAACAUAGU
RNAcentral lists this long non-coding RNA (1159 nucleotides) under Brassica rapa (field mustard). RNAcentral's name for it is "long non-coding RNA (BRAP_LNC005757)". Lineage: Eukaryota; Viridiplantae; Streptophyta; Magnoliopsida; Brassicales; Brassicaceae. The record is from RNAcentral.